This is a long non-coding RNA of Rosa chinensis, 288 nucleotides long. RefSeq lists it as uncharacterized. The transcript is spliced from 3 exons. NCBI's taxonomy places the organism in Eukaryota, Viridiplantae, Streptophyta, Magnoliopsida, Rosales, Rosaceae. The record is from RefSeq and is a predicted model, not a curated record.
GGAAUGUCGAAGUACAGAGAGACCACGGGGUUAUUGAUUAAACAAGGGGACUCCUGUAUUAUGUUGAAAAGAAUUGCUCAAAAGCUGUUUACACUCCUGAACGGAAAUAUGUAUGUAUCGCUGGGAGGUAUCUCCAAGGUGCUCGCUUAUUUGGCAACUCAAGUGGAAGUGUUGAUUCUGCAAUUCCAAUAGAGAGUUUAGAACCCUCAUCAGAGGUUGCUGUUAUAAAUGAUGUGAGCACUUCAACAUCAACCACACCCACUUUGAGUGCACGCUUCGUGGGGCAAG